CGCCUGGGUGUGAACACAAAAAACGUGGCGAAAAACGCUGGCGAAUAACGCCUGGCGAAUAUUCGUCCCGGUGUUUACGGGCCUUAAGGUUGUCACCAGAGAACUUCUCUUUGGAAUUGUAUUGAAUUAUGCCAUUAUAAAUCCAAUUCAAUUGUUAUUGUGACACCGAACCCACUCUUGACCAUGAAUCAUUGUAAUCCACAGAAAUCUAAAGAGUGAAGCUGCUAUAUUUGAACUUUUUCUGUUGUUGUUUUCCAAACCUCAUGUUUGCAUCACUUCUGAUGUUGCACGUCGGCUGCUUGGCCUCAAGCAAACCAAACCAAAUGACACAUAAUUUAAUGAGUCCCAUUUACUGUCUCAACUAAUGCUUGUUUAUUUUCGUAAAAACACACCUUGUGUGUGUUUGUGUGUGUGAGGGAACGCGUGUGACUGUUACAGGUGGCCGCCCAGUAGGUGGGAAAAUGCAGGAAGUCUGCUUGUCUGUGUCCACAUGUAUCAGACGCAGCAUGUUUUUCCCUUUCAGAGGCGAGGUAUCCUGUACGAGUGUGUGUACUCCUGUGUGUGAUUGUCGCCGAUCGCACUGGGCGACUGACUUCCAGGAACCCCUGCAGCAAAAACAGGCACUGUUUCCUCAACGCCUAUCCUUGUGCCUCCGGCUGUCAAGAUGUUUCGCAGUGAUUGUCAUGAGAGAACUUGUUCUCCGGGACCGCAGCGGAGGACACAAAUAGGCGAGGAGUGACGGCAUCCUCGCAGUGCUGCUGCUUUUUUUUUUUUCUUUUUUCUUCUGACCACAUUUGGCUGCUCACUCUGAUUCGGCGAGAUGGUUUCCAGAUGGUGAAGGGAAAGUGCCGGCCUGACGUUGCUGCAGGCCAGUUCGGUGUGUGCCUUUCUCCGCUGAAGGAACAGUGGGGAUUGGGAGUGUGGAAGUGGAUUUGUACUGGGGGCAGACAUGCAUUUGGUUAUUUCCCACCACCUGUGGCACAUGCCCACUAAAGCUGUCUUCCACGGCCUUAUAAGGCUAUAGUCACAUCUGGGUUGACUACUUCUUUAGAGAUUAGGUUAAGCUACCAAUGAAUUUUACAAUGAAAGUAGUAAAGAUGGUGCUGUCAUGUCAGAUGGAAAAUAUUUACAGUAAAACAUUUGUACUCAUUCAUGCUAUCCUGUUGAAUCUCUAAGAGUUUACUAUAGAGCCAAUAGUUUUUGUCACACUCAUGAAGGGACAAUUUCAAAAUUAUCCACCAACAUUCCCGGUUGAUGUUUCUGUAAACCACUGAUUGUAUAAGAGGUCUGGACUGAGUUAGUGUGAUGUUAUCCAUAGAAAAAAGGUUCAAUUCAGUCGUCAUUUCUUUUGUGAUACGGACGUCGCCAUGUUGAAACCAGCAAUCAUCACCAAGCACUGAUUGGUUUGAGUCAUUGUUUCAAUAGGCAACCACUCUCGCCAAUCAGGAUUGAGCUUGUUGGAAGUCCACACCACUUGAAAACAGGCGACACGAAAUCUGUAAAACAAUUUGAAUGUUCAAUUUGAGACCAAAUGCUAUUAUUGAGGCAUCUGAUUGGUCACUUUAGACCUUCAAUAACUUGCACUACAGCAA
This is a long non-coding RNA of Oryzias latipes (Japanese medaka), 1592 nucleotides long. RefSeq lists it as uncharacterized. Lineage: Eukaryota; Metazoa; Chordata; Actinopteri; Beloniformes; Adrianichthyidae. The record is from RefSeq and is a predicted model, not a curated record.